Molecule: non-coding RNA, 399 nt
Organism: Callorhinus ursinus (northern fur seal)
Lineage: Eukaryota; Metazoa; Chordata; Mammalia; Carnivora; Otariidae
Source: RefSeq, a predicted model, not a curated record
GGCAGAGGCAGAAGACUUAGAAUGACCACACAGUGCUUUUCAAAUACAGAGAUUCCCGGGCCUCCUCCCAGACUCAGGGGUAUGAAGCCGGCAGGGACCGGGAUGUGUUCAUUCACCGUGCUGGAGGCUAGCAUAGUGCCUGAUGUGAACACACUCAUUCUAUGUGAGGAAGGAAUGACAGCAUCUCACCUUACUGAGGACAGAAGCCCAGGGAGAAACUGAGGAAGCAUGCCCAGGGGCAUUCAGCUAUAUAAGGUAACCGAUGGAGCGGUCUGACCCAGGGACCCAGGUGGAUAGUCACUACACCGCAACGUCUCAACUAAUAGGUAGAAUUGGAAACGUGAGGGCCGAUCCUAAGGCCCUCAACUGAUUUAAUAAAUACAUCGUCACAAGAAAUUU